This 396-nucleotide ribosomal RNA is filed under the name uncultured bacterium. RNAcentral's name for it is "partial 16S ribosomal RNA". It matches the Rfam family "Bacterial small subunit ribosomal RNA", at positions 523 to 918 of the family's 1533-position model. The record is from RNAcentral.
AUACGUAGGUGGCAAGCGUUGUCCGGAAUUAUUGGGCGUAAAGCGCAUGUAGGCGGUUUGGUAAGUCGGUCGUGAAAAUGCGGUGCUUAACGCCGUAUGGCGAUUGAAACUGCUGAACUUGAGUGCAGGAGAGGAAAGGGGAACUCCCAGUGUAGCGGUGAAAUGCGUAGAUAUUGGGAAGAACACCGGUGGCGAAGGCGCCUUUCUGGACUGUGUCUGACGCUCAGAUGCGAAAGCCAGGGUAGCGAACGGGAUUAGAUACCCCGGUAGUCCUGGCCGUAAACGAUGGGUACUAGGUGUGGGAGGUAUCGACUCCUUCCGUGCCGGAGUUAACGCAAUAAGUACCCUGCCUGGGGAGUACGGCCGCAAGGCUUAAACUCAAAUGAAUUGACGGGG